This 253-nucleotide ribosomal RNA is filed under the name uncultured bacterium. RNAcentral's name for it is "partial 16S ribosomal RNA". It matches the Rfam family "Bacterial small subunit ribosomal RNA", at positions 524 to 776 of the family's 1533-position model. The record is from RNAcentral.
UACGUAGGCAGCGAGCGUUGUUCGGAGUUACUGGGCGUAAAGGGUGUGUAGGCGGUUGCUUAAGUUUGGUGUGAAAUCUCCCGGCUCAACUGGGAGGGUGCGCCGAAUACUGAGUGACUCGAGUGCGGGAGAGGAAAGUGGAAUUCCUGGUGUAGCGGUGAAAUGCGUAGAUAUCAGGAGGAACACCGGUGGUGUAGACGGCUUUCUGGACCGUAACUGACGCUGAAACACGAAAGCGUGGGUAGCAAACAGG